Molecule: ribosomal RNA, 407 nt
Filed under: uncultured bacterium
Lineage: Bacteria
Description: partial 16S ribosomal RNA
Rfam family: Bacterial small subunit ribosomal RNA
Source: RNAcentral
AUUGAACGCUAGCGGGAUGCCUAACACAUGCAAGUCGAACGGAGUGGCGGACGGGUGAGUAAUAUAUCGGAACGUGCCCAGUAGAGGGGGAUAACUACUCGAAAGAGUGGCUAAUACCGCAUACUAUCCGAGCGGCCGAUAUGGGAUUAGCUAGUUGGUGGGGUAAAGGCUCACCAAGGCAACGAUCCGUAGCUGGUUUGAGAGGACGACCAGCCACACUGGGACUGAGACACGGCCCAGACUCCUACGGGAGGCAGCAGUGGGGAAUUUUGGACAAUGGGGGAAAGCCUGAUCCAGCCAUCCCGCGUGUAUGAAGAAGGCCUUCGGGUUGUAAAGUACUUUUGGCAGAGAAGCGGUAUCUGCAGAAUAAGCACCGGCUAACUACGUGCCAGCAGCCGCGGUAAUUC